This 449-nucleotide ribosomal RNA is filed under the name uncultured bacterium. Its description in RNAcentral is "partial 16S ribosomal RNA". It matches the Rfam family "Bacterial small subunit ribosomal RNA", at positions 29 to 523 of the family's 1533-position model. The record is from RNAcentral.
AACGAACGCUGGCGGCAUGCCUAACACAUGCAAGUCGAACGAGAUCUUCGGGUCUAGUGGCGCACGGGUGCGUAACGCGUGGGAAUCUGCCCUUUGGUUCGGAAUAACAGUUGGAAACGACUGCUAAUACCGGAUGAUGACGAAAGUCCAAAGAUUUAUCGCCAGAGGAUGAGCCCGCGUAGGAUUAGCUAGUUGGUGUGGUAAAGGCGCACCAAGGCGACGAUCCUUAGCUGGUCUGAGAGGAUGAUCAGCCACACUGGGACUGAGACACGGCCCAGACGCCUUCGGNNGGCAGCAGUGGAGANUAUUGGACGAUGGGCGAAAGCCUGAUCCAGCAAUGCCGCGUGAGUGAUGAAGGCCUUAGGGUUGUAAAGCUCUUUUACCCGGGAUGAUAAUGACAGUACCGGGAGAAUAAGCUCCGGCUAACUCCGUGCCAGCAGCCGCGGUAA